AAAUUUCCUUUCAAAUCUUCCCAUUUUCGAAAAGAUUUUGUUUUAUCUCUUCUAAAAACUCACAAACAAGGAAUUUUUAUUCUCCUUUCCAACAAAAAAAAAUUCACUUCAUUUUGGAACUCACAAAACACAGUGAGAUAAAGAGAGUUGUGAAAAAAAAUGAAGGUAAAAUAGGUAUUGAAUUUGGUCAAAUUAUCUUAUUUAAAAUGACUAAUAAGUCAUUUUUAGAAGUUAAAAAAAACUUGUAAAUCAAUUUGUAAGUUCAAAACUAAGCCAAAAACAAACACCCAAAUAGUAAACAAAACUUUAAUAACAAUUAGCAAUCAUGUCAUAUACUCCAUAAAAAAUCCGUC
RNAcentral lists this long non-coding RNA (353 nucleotides) under Panax ginseng (ginseng). RNAcentral's name for it is "long non-coding RNA (PGIN_LNC006434)". The record is from RNAcentral. Lineage: Eukaryota; Viridiplantae; Streptophyta; Magnoliopsida; Apiales; Araliaceae.